This 429-nucleotide ribosomal RNA is filed under the name Chloroflexota bacterium. RNAcentral's name for it is "Chloroflexi bacterium partial 16S ribosomal RNA". It matches the Rfam family "Bacterial small subunit ribosomal RNA", at positions 355 to 776 of the family's 1533-position model. Lineage: Bacteria; Bacillati; Chloroflexota. The record is from RNAcentral.
UGGGGAAUAUUGCACAAUGGGCGCAAGCCUGAUGCAGCCAUGCCGCGUGUAUGAAGAAGGCCUUCGGGUUGUAAAGUACUUUCAGCGGGGAGGAAGGGAGUAAAGUUAAUACCUUUGCUCAUUGACGUUACCCGCAGAAGAAGCACCGGCUAACUCCGUGCCAGCAGCCGCGGUAAUACGGAGGGUGCAAGCGUUAAUCGGAAUUACUGGGCGUAAAGCGCACGCAGGCGGUUUGUUAAGUCAGAUGUGAAAUCCCUGGGCUCAACCUGGGAACUGCAUCUGAUACUGGCAAGCUUGAGUCUCGUAGAGGGGGGUAGAAUUCCAGGUGUAGCGGUGAAAUGCGUAGAGAUCUGGAGGAAUACCGGUGGCGAAGGCGGCCCCCUAGACGAAGACUGACGCUCAGGUGCGAAAGCGUGGGGAGCAAACAGG